RNAcentral lists this unclassified non-coding RNA (163 nucleotides) under uncultured Sebacinaceae. Its description in RNAcentral is "sequence contains ITS1". Lineage: Eukaryota; Fungi; Basidiomycota; Agaricomycetes; Sebacinales; Sebacinaceae. The record is from RNAcentral.
CGAAUUGUUGACACGAGUUGUUGCUGGCCCGCUCGGGCAAGUGCACGUCGGUGACUUUCAUCCAAUACCCUGUGCACCAUUGGCCUCUGCUAGCUUUGGCCGGCAGAGGAAUUUUACACCUACUCGAAUGUAAUGAAAUUAGUGUGUGCGUAAGCACAAUGUA